RNAcentral lists this ribosomal RNA (1544 nucleotides) under Salmonella enterica subsp. enterica serovar Infantis. Its description in RNAcentral is "bacterial SSU rRNA". It matches the Rfam family "Bacterial small subunit ribosomal RNA". The record is from RNAcentral. Lineage: Bacteria; Pseudomonadati; Pseudomonadota; Gammaproteobacteria; Enterobacterales; Enterobacteriaceae.
AAAUUGAAGAGUUUGAUCAUGGCUCAGAUUGAACGCUGGCGGCAGGCCUAACACAUGCAAGUCGAACGGUAACAGGAAGCAGCUUGCUGCUUUGCUGACGAGUGGCGGACGGGUGAGUAAUGUCUGGGAAACUGCCUGAUGGAGGGGGGAUAACUACUGGAAACGGUGGCUAAUACCGCAUAACGUCGCAAGACCAAAGAGGGGGACCUUCGGGCCUCUUGCCAUCAGAUGUGCCCAGAUGGGAUUAGCUUGUUGGUGAGGUAACGGCUCACCAAGGCGACGAUCCCUAGCUGGUCUGAGAGGAUGACCAGCCACACUGGAACUGAGACACGGUCCAGACUCCUACGGGGAGGCAGCAGUGGGGAAUAUUGCACAAUGGGCGCAAGCCUGAUGCAGCCAUGCCGCGUGUAUGAAGAAGGCCUUCGGGUUGUAAAGUACUUUCAGCGGGGAGGAAGGUGUUGUGGUUAAUAACCGCAGCAAUUGACGUUACCCGCAGAAGAAGCACCGGCUAACUCCGUGCCAGCAGCCGCGGUAAUACGGAGGGUGCAAGCGUUAAUCGGAAUUACUGGGCGUAAAGCGCACGCAGGCGGUCUGUCAAGUCGGAUGUGAAAUCCCCGGGCUCAACCUGGGAACUGCAUUCGAAACUGGCAGGCUUGAGUCUUGUAGAGGGGGGUAGAAUUCCAGGUGUAGCGGUGAAAUGCGUAGAGAUCUGGAGGAAUACCGGUGGCGAAGGCGGCCCCCUGGACAAAGACUGACGCUCAGGUGCGAAAGCGUGGGGAGCAAACAGGAUUAGAUACCCUGGUAGUCCACGCCGUAAACGAUGUCUACUUGGAGGUUGUGCCCUUGAGGCGUGGCUUCCGGAGCUAACGCGUUAAGUAGACCGCCUGGGGAGUACGGCCGCAAGGUUAAAACUCAAAUGAAUUGACGGGGGCCCGCACAAGCGGUGGAGCAUGUGGUUUAAUUCGAUGCAACGCGAAGAACCUUACCUGGUCUUGACAUCCACAGAAGAAUCCAGAGAUGGAUUUGUGCCUUCGGGAACUGUGAGACAGGUGCUGCAUGGCUGUCGUCAGCUCGUGUUGUGAAAUGUUGGGUUAAGUCCCGCAACGAGCGCAACCCUUAUCCUUUGUUGCCAGCGGUCCGGCCGGGAACUCAAAGGAGACUGCCAGUGAUAAACUGGAGGAAGGUGGGGAUGACGUCAAGUCAUCAUGGCCCUUACGACCAGGGCUACACACGUGCUACAAUGGCGCAUACAAAGAGAAGCGACCUCGCGAGAGCAAGCGGACCUCAUAAAGUGCGUCGUAGUCCGGAUUGGAGUCUGCAACUCGACUCCAUGAAGUCGGAAUCGCUAGUAAUCGUGGAUCAGAAUGCCACGGUGAAUACGUUCCCGGGCCUUGUACACACCGCCCGUCACACCAUGGGAGUGGGUUGCAAAAGAAGUAGGUAGCUUAACCUUCGGGAGGGCGCUUACCACUUUGUGAUUCAUGACUGGGGUGAAGUCGUAACAAGGUAACCGUAGGGGAACCUGCGGUUGGAUCACCUCCUUA